Molecule: long non-coding RNA, 7561 nt
Organism: Ailuropoda melanoleuca (giant panda)
Lineage: Eukaryota; Metazoa; Chordata; Mammalia; Carnivora; Ursidae
Exons: 2
Source: RefSeq, a predicted model, not a curated record
AGAGAUCAUGAUGCAGCCGUCCUUUUGGAUUUCUUUUUAAUAAUGUGUGACCCUUCACCUUUGAUCCCCUGACCUGCAUUACCUUGAUCCUUCUUGAAUAUUAUCAGAUCAGCACUUACAGGCUUGAUUUAACAGAAUCUCACCAUCCUGGGUCUUCAGGGAAAGUCGCGGUCUGUGCCCAGGUGUGCCUGCAGCCUACUUUGAGGCGGUGUCCUGUGUGUGAUCUUUGGGCUGUGUAUUGUGCUGGAGAGAACCUUGGCACUGGAGACACGUAGGACUUUUUAUUUAUUUUUUAUUUUUACGAACCACAGAGAUAUUUGAGUCAGAAAAUGAUGUAGUUUGAAAAAGUGAUAAAUGGACCAGGUUCUUGAAAAGCCAGCAGAACAUCUUAUUUACACAAAAAUCAGAAAACAGAAAUGAGUCUCCUAAGGAAAAAAAAUUUUUUUUUUUUAAAUACGGUGCUUUUAUAUAAAUUUUCUCGUAUCUGUUUUUGUGGUAUAAAAUUUAAUUUUAUCAUCAUUUGUUUGUUUUGUGGUUAGGUCUCCAUUUCUCACAGCAUCUCACUUAACCUGUCUGAAACGGUGAGUUCAGAGGAAGCCCUGUGCUGCUGCCUGUGGCGGCACUCAUGCCCAGACGGUUAAGUCUCACUGCCCACUUGGGUGAGUUUGGUGGGUGAUUGUUCUUUUGUUUUUUUAAUCAGUAACAUAGACUAAGCUACAAAGCCAAGUGGAAGAAUUAAGAUAUGUUUUAAUCUUUUCAAGUUCUAAGAGUCUCAUUAAAGAACCAUCUUUUCUUUUUCUUUUUUUUCUUAAGCUGACAAAAUGUCCACGUGCUUGCCUGGUUCCUGCCUGGCCCCUCAGAAUUCUGGAGCCACAGCCAGGGUGGAUCCCUGGUAGCUUCCCUCAUGGCCUCUAGCGAGGGUGGGUGUGCUGCUCCCUUGCAGCAGCUCCGGAUGUCACCUGGAAGGAAUCUUUGCUGUGGCUUUGAUUAUCCUCUUCAGGUUGUGCCUUUUAGGAAGUUGUAAAACAGAUGGUGCUGUCCAGCCGUCUGAGAUCAGCCCUGCUGAUGUGGGCAGAAUUCAGAAUGAAGUUUUAGCUUCAUGGACAUGUCGUGGGGAAGUUGCGUGUCAUGACAGGCCGUGUCCCAUCAGGGGGAGUACUGUGGGAUGGACCCUGAGGAGGUUAGACUAGGGGCUGCCGGGCUUCCUCUGACUGGCAGACUUGGCUGUGGGUUGCUCAAGAUGGUGACCGGUUCCCUCUCGGAGUGGCGGGUCUGUAACCUGAGUCGUCAGUCUGAGAAGGGGGUGUUUUGUGUUCACUUGGGGUUUUCUGACAUUGACUAGAAAGAAGAGUAACGCUUUAGUUGUGUAAUUUACAAUAAUGACCAAAAGCCUCAAGCCUGCUCCCCACAAAACAUCCAGUUAUCCAAAUAUUCAUUCAAAUUAUAAAUUUCUUUCAGCUAUGGGCACUUUUUUCCUUGUCUUUUUCCUUUCUGUUUUCUUUCCCCACCAGAUAGAUUCACACUGAAAAAUAAGACAGGCUCCAGUAUUUGCAUGUGGAAAAUUAAGAUCCGUGCCCAGAGGCGCCUGGUGGCAAGCACAGUGAAGUAAGCGGAGAACUGGGGCAAUUGUUUAUUUGAAGGUUGGGUGUGACAUAUGAAUGAGCCUAUCUUUUUAAUACCCGCCCAUCUGUCCUGGACUGAAACAGGCAUUUGGAAUAGGUUUUGCAUUCUAAGUUCAGUUUUGAAAACCAACCAUUCACGGUGAAUGCAAAGUUGCUGGAAGUUUGUUUCAGAGAUGAUGCCACCCUCUAUUUCUGUGAACCCAAUAAAAAUAGCAUGGAAUAAAAUUUAAUUAUGCUAUGCUGCAUAUUUCAUGUGGAAUUAAGGGGCAAGAGUUGCCUUUGCAACGCAUUAAGUUUGGAAGGAAUAAAGGCUUUUUGUAGGUUCUUUGGAAGAUACUAUAAUUAAAAGAUUUGCUGAAAUGUAUUUGUCCCCUUUUGAAGAAUUUAAAGGAAUCCAUGCCUCCCUUCCUAAAUUGAUUGCCUCUCAAACAUCAGCCACGCUUGGCAGUAAAUACGGUGAGGCCAUUGCUGCUCUGCUGACGUGACGGCUUCUUUCUGUUAAAUGUAAAAUAGGUUUUUAAUCUCCUGAUUUAGAUGUUUAAUAGAAAGUAAAUGUUUGACUUGCUUUGGUUUCUGCUGAACCUGUAUUUAAAUCCACACAAACAGUUAGAAUAAAGUGAAAACAUCACUGGACUAGCUAUUUUAAACAUUUCAGGACGUGAGAAUGCUAAAUGGGGUUCCCUUUUAAAACUAGAAAUGGCUGCUUGCAUUUACAUAAUUACUGCUAACUAGCACAACAUUUUACAUGGUGACAAACGCAGGGUAGGAAAAGUAUCUGUUUUAAAAAAGCCUGGUAAAAUGAAGCUGAAAAGCUCUGUGAGCAGCUGCUUCCUGCAGAGGGCCUUUGCAAAGCCAGGGGAAGGAGACCUUUCCAGAGGGAGGGUGAUGUGACAUCCUGGGAGCAGGCAGGUAGCUCAGGCAGCUGCUUGGAGAUGCUUGCAAGCUGUCCCUUAGGCUGAGCUCACAAACCUUUCAUCUGGAAGCAGGGUUGUAGGUGCUAGUUCCUAAAUCUGCUUUUCAGUUUUGGAGCGGGUAGGGCAUUCUCUGUCCGUGGUUGAAUGGUGUCUGGUGAGGUUGAAGUUCAGUGUUGGUGCAAACAGCCUGGGAGGGUGUUUGUGAAAAUAAAGACUAGCGUCUCCUCGUCCAGAUUGAGCAGUCAGUACCUCCAGCCGGAAGCUCAGGUAUGUCCUUGAUUCUGCCUUUUGUCCCCUGCCACAAGUGGGACCCAGCUGUAAGUCCCUUUUUCCUUCUCCUAUGUGCCCCGCUGUGUGCAUCUCUGCUGGUGCCUCCAGAGUCUGGUCUGUCCUCAUUUUCUUUGCCUGGACGUCUGACCCCACUUCCUAUCUGGACUCCUGUUGCCAGUCUGGCUCCCUGUACAGGGACCAGGGUGAUUUAUGAAGGAUAUAACCUGGGUGAGGUCACUGGCUUGCUUCAAAACCCUGCAGUGACUUUCUACCCAUUUGGAGUGCACUUGGCCUGUGUGGCCUGGUCCCUGCGACAGCGCUCAGGCCGUACCGUGUGCUCUUCCUCUGGGCGCAUCAACCCUUCCCACAGCUGGAACACACCCGGUCAUGUGCUUCUCCUCUGCAGUUUUCUCCCCAUGGGGUGCUGUCCCCCACACCCCGUGUUUGUGUGCCAGCUUCUUCCUGCCACUCAGGUCUCACCUCAAAUGUCAUCUCAGGGAGGCCCUUCCCAGACAGCCCACGCUAGCAUAGUCCUCCAUCACUCUGUCAUUGGCAUGUUUUGGUAGCAUAUUUAUACUGUCUGAAAUUGUCUCUUGUAUUCCUUUGCCUUUCUCUGCUCUCCUCCCCAGCCCUUUAGAAUGAAUGUGAGCUCUUUUAGGGCAGGGACCUAGUCUGUCUCCUCAGCUGUAUUCUCAGCAGCUACAGGUUCCUGUAAGUGUGCAGGAUGCCACUGAUUAAAUGGAUGCACAAGAGGAGCCCUGGACAGCACUCAUGUCCAAGGAGGGGGCUGACCUGGUGGGACUGGGCACCUAGACGGACGGUCCUAAAGUUCUUGUCGUCUCCAGGUGUUUUCUGGAGCUGUUUGGGAAACACCACUCUAAACCUUGCCUUUUGGCAUUGAAAGUUGACAUUUGGGGUCAAUGAAUGGCUGUGGACAUGGUUCAGCCCAUGUCCCACGAGAGUCGGGGACCUUGCUCUCAUGGCUCCCUGAGUAUUCCCAGUGCUCUUGGUUCAGUGGGAGCUCAGCAGUGGGGGUUCUGCCUCCUUGCUGGGGUGGUGCCUUACCUUGCUGGAGACUGAAUUCGAACUCACCCACACCCAGCUUGAGAGCUAGACCUCCUUUUCUGUGAUUGCCCCUGUGGCAUCUUUCUUAUGACAAUGAUGGCUACACUUUCUAUGUUCCACAUUCUUUCUGGGGCUAGGGGACUAAUCUCCUAAGAUACCAGUAUUUGCAGAAGUCUGAACUUUGGUGAGUAGCUUUGAGCUUCUCUGGUUCUCCUCUUGGCUACAUCCCAAAUUUUUAGGAGAAAAAUGUGGUGAAGCUACAGAUAGCUGGGAGGUUGAUGAGGAUGUUUGGAAGUAGAUUGAACCCUUCGUGUUCAGCUUUCUUAGGAAAGAAGAGAAUCACAUUUCCAACUCAUGCCAUCUCAAAUAUGAUAUGCCACUGCAAGCUGUCCGUCAGAACAUUUACUUUGGUCUCAAAUAUGCUGGUUUAGGGACUGGGUUGUAGAACUCAGGAGACCUGUCUGCUCAGCAGAAGUUCCACUGUACAACUUUCCAUUCUUGCUGCUAUCUUUAUCAGGACAUUGUUACGGUGUUGGCUUGUUUCAGUAAAAACACCAGCUUCUCAGUUAUUUUAUAGUGAAACGGAGCUUCUUAGAACCGAGACCUAGGGACAGAGUCCUUGAGCUGGGGCGUUUGCAUUGCUUUUGAUCGAGCACCAGUUCAUUAGACUGGAUUUAAGAGAACCCCCCUGCCCUUUUCUCGUGUGUGACUGGAGCCUCGUGCCACCCAUGGCAUGGUGUCUUGAUUGCCUGGCCCCCCACUUGCCUGGCUAGAGAACACGCUCAAGCUGGAGGGAACAAGCAAGAUGAAGACAGGCAAGAGUCAAGAAAGGGCCUGGCCUGCCCGAGCCAGACACGUGUGCAGUGGGGGUGGCUAGAUAGGGCUGGAAAAUUGGUUUCAAGCAGCUUAUGGGGGUUCUUGUGUGUAAGAAGUGGGCAACUGUAGGUCAUUUCCCCUGGUAACUGAGCUGGUGAACUGGGGUGUGUGUAGGGCUGGCUGAGGGCAGAGAGAAGAACUUGGAGAACGUAUCAGUCAUUGGUUUCUUAGUUAUUGGAAACUCCGUCUUUCCUGGGAGCCAUUUUCCUCUCUAACAGAUGCUGUGAGAAGCUGUCUAGUGCAUACCCCUGAGUUGUGUACCUUUUCUGAUUUGGUCCUUUUGGUCGGUUGCUUUUGAAGUUAAGGUGCUGGCUUGGUCAACUGAAUAUUCGAAACAGACUCCCAUACACGCCUGGCUGGUAAGUAUUUGAAGAGCAGUGACUUCCUGCGCGAGUGAUUAGCAGGCAUGCUUGAUGUGUGGUUGACACACACAGUGUCUAUGGUAGUUACUGUGUGAUUGCUUAAGCACGAACCAGGGCGCACUGGUCCAGCUUGAAGUGAGGUUGCCCCUCUGAAAGGACAUCCUGGUUGCAUUUUACUGGCACUGUGUGUAAGCAAGGGACAAGCGCCCAUUUACUGUUGUUCUCAUCUCCUUUUCCAGCCUUAAAAAAGCCAAAAUGAUUUCCUGCCCAUAAAUUGCUUGGUUUUCUUUUUCUGGUCUUUCCUUUCGUGGCCAAGAUAUUUGCAGAAAUUUCUGGCUAACCAGCCGUCCGUAACUUUCCUCUUCACUGCGGAUGCUGUGGUUAGUGGUAUCUGAAGAGCUCCCCCAAAUCCAAAGUUGUUGCCUUAGGAAAGCUGAGAUUCCAGCGGUUCAGCCGCUGCAGUGGGGUUUUACAUUCCUUGUCUUGAGACUGUGUUUGACUCAUUAAAUAUUUCAAGUUAGUUGAGAAACUUAAAUAUUUGUUAAAUUUCAGGGUGUCCUGACUUAGAGAAAAUGAAUUACUGGGUAUACUUUAUAAGACCCAUCUUUUGCCCAUUCCUCAGCUUGUAGUGAUGAUGAGGCUUAAAGAUUCUGCCCUUCAGGCAGACAAGUGAAAGCCCUUCGACGGGGAGAAAAUGCGCCAGCAGUGGGGAGCAGUUCUCCCGCAUGGCAUUAGCGUUGGCUUGUGAGUUGGCCCCUCAGGAUGGUACGGACAGUUUCCAGGGAAGAGUUCAGGAAAGACGCUGGAAAGGGAUUUUCCUGACUCUCAUCUCAAGGGGAAUCUCCUUUUUGCUUCAGCUGGCCAAACUUAGCUGGCUCAGCGUGCCUGAUUCCUAGACCAACUUCCCGCCCUCUCAGCGCAUAGCAGACCUCCAGACAGGUGCCUGGUUGACGUGGAUCCCCUGGUUUGCUUUGUUUGAACUGUUAUCUUUUUAAUGGUGAAGCGGAUGAUCUAGACCGAGCACCAAGGUACGCCUUCCUUCCAUCCCCUUCAUGAGCCCGGAUGCCCGCAGCGUGGUCUCGUGUGCACCUGUAGGACAGACCAGGCAGUCCUUCCUGUAGGGUCCGUGAGGUCAUCUGUACCUCGAGUGCUUCUUCAGGGUGGGGGACGGUUUGCUGCCCCCGACAGCGCUGCUGUCUCCGUGGAAAUGUGCGCAGCCUGCUUACCCAUCAGAGAUGCACCACGGAUGAUAAAUAAUAAUCACGCGGCGUGAUUGCUGAGAGGCGGGCUCCAGCCAGUGUGUGCGGGGUUGUAGUGUUUUCCUGAUGGAUGGAGCCUAUUCUGGGAAGCAGCUUAUUGUCUCACGUGAACAGGCAUUCUAAAAUAAAUGACUGCUUUCUUAAUAUUUUGAAUCAUUUUCUUCAGCACAUGUUUUGUAGCCGUGGUUUGAAAGCUUGCCAAAUAUAUGCCUUCACACAACUCCCUGUAGGGCUGGAUAUACAACCAGACCAAACAGUGUGAUUUAAGGUUGAACAUAAUUGGAACUCAGCAAUCACUUGCCUUGCAUUUGAUAGAAUGGCAGCAGAGUGCUCUGGAGUUAUUUCUCCGUUAAAAAAUUAUAUAUAUGUAAUACACACAAACGCAUACUUGUAUAUAGUUUCAGUGCCUCAUAAUAAAGAAGUCGUGUCUGAAACCACUGGCCAGAAACACUAGUGUGAAAAUUAUUACUUGAAUUUUGUGAUGGAGGCAGUAAUGAGCUUCAAACAGAUCCUAGCAGUCGAUACCACCGAUGUGACUGAGGACCUUAGUCAAACUGUAUAAGGUUACAGAAUGGAGAAAAAUCAGAAGGUGGCAGAAAUACAUCUUAAACCCAAGCCCCCAUCAAGACUUUCAUCAGGUGAUGUGUUCCUUGUUUCUGUGCACUUCAGUAAUUGAGCCAUAAACCUGGUGAACUGGGUGCGGCCUCCCUGUUAAACAAGGGGCUUUGGUGUUUACAUUUCAAGCGCUUCUGUGUGUUUGGGAUUGUUGGACUGUCAGUCUCCUGUAAUUGAGACCUUUUCAUGUGCCUCUUGUGCGGUGGGAAAAAUGCUGUUGACAGCCCCACUUCCUGAAGCUCUUUAGAAGAUGGAAUUGAGAGCUCUUUGAGGAGUCACAUGUGGAAUCCAGGUUUGUUUACCAGGCCGAGGGAGAUCAUACUGGCAGACAUUUAUGGUGACUGUCCGGAUCGCAGAGGGUGGAGAUGCACGAGAACGUCUGCUUCACUCCCUGGCACGCUGGCUCCUUCAGGCUCAUCGCCAGCCCCGGCGCCGUGCAGGAGGAGGGGCGUGGGGAGGGAAACCAUGCCCAGCACAGCCGCCACGGUUUCCUGAUGAUGGCAUCCCAUCGCCACACAGUGAUACAGCCUGCCGCCACCCCUUGUAAGAAAAGGAAAUAAAACUCUGAGGUGGAAACG